Molecule: ribosomal RNA, 761 nt
Filed under: Microbacterium aurantiacum
Lineage: Bacteria; Bacillati; Actinomycetota; Actinomycetes; Micrococcales; Microbacteriaceae
Description: partial 16S ribosomal RNA
Rfam family: Bacterial small subunit ribosomal RNA
Source: RNAcentral
UUAACACAUGCAAGUCGAACGGUGAAGCCAAGCUUGCUUGGUGGAUCAGUGGCGAACGGGUGAGUAACACGUGAGCAACCUGCCCUGGACUCUGGGAUAAGCGCUGGAAACGGCGUCUAAUACUGGAUAUGAGCUCUCAUCGCAUGGUGGGGGUUGGAAAGAUUUUUCGGUCUGGGAUGGGCUCGCGGCCUAUCAGCUUGUUGGUGAGGUAAUGGCUCACCAAGGCGUCGACGGGUAGCCGGCCUGAGAGGGUGACCGGCCACACUGGGACUGAGACACGGCCCAGACUCCUACGGGAGGCAGCAGUGGGGAAUAUUGCACAAUGGGCGGAAGCCUGAUGCAGCAACGCCGCGUGAGGGAUGACGGCCUUCGGGUUGUAAACCUCUUUUAGCAGGGAAGAAGCGAGAGUGACGGUACCUGCAGAAAAAGCGCCGGCUAACUACGUGCCAGCAGCCGCGGUAAUACGUAGGGCGCAAGCGUUAUCCGGAAUUAUUGGGCGUAAAGAGCUCGUAGGCGGUUUGUCGCGUCUGCUGUGAAAUCCCGAGGCUCAACCUCGGGCCUGCAGUGGGUACGGGCAGACUAGAGUGCGGUAGGGGAGAUUGGAAUUCCUGGUGUAGCGGUGGAAUGCGCAGAUAUCAGGAGGAACACCGAUGGCGAAGGCAGAUCUCUGGGCCGUAACUGACGCUGAGGAGCGAAAGGGUGGGGAGCAAACAGGCUUAGAUACCCUGGUAGUCCACCCCGUAAACGUUGGGAACUAGUUG